This 56-nucleotide ribosomal RNA is filed under the name Bipolaris sorokiniana. Its description in RNAcentral is "partial 28S ribosomal RNA". The record is from RNAcentral. Lineage: Eukaryota; Fungi; Ascomycota; Dothideomycetes; Pleosporales; Pleosporaceae.
GACCUCGGAUCAGGUAGGGAUACCCGCUGAACUUAAGCAUAUCAAUAAGCGGAGGC